Molecule: ribosomal RNA, 397 nt
Filed under: uncultured bacterium
Lineage: Bacteria
Description: partial 16S ribosomal RNA
Rfam family: Bacterial small subunit ribosomal RNA
Source: RNAcentral
AUACGUAGGUGCCAAGCGUUAUCCGGAUUUACUGGGCGUAAAGGGCGUGUAGGCGGUCUUGCAAGUCAGAAGUGAAAUUCCUGAGCUCAACUCGGGCGCUGCUUCUGAAACUGCAGGACUUGAGUGCUGCAGGGGAUAGCGGAAUUCCUAGUGGAGCGGUAAAAUGCGCAGAUAUGAGGAAGAACACCGGUGGCGAAGGCGGCUUUCUGGGCAGAAACUGACGCUGAGGCGCGAGAUCGUGGGGGGCAAACAGGAUUAGAUACCCUGGUAGUCCACGCCGUAAACGAGGAAUACUAGGUGGAGGGGGUAGCGAUUCCCUCUGUGCCGCAGUUAACACAAGAAGUAUUCCGCCUGGGGAGUACGGCCGCAAGGUUGAAACUCAAAGGAAUUGACGGGG